This 757-nucleotide ribosomal RNA is filed under the name Bacillus paramycoides. Its description in RNAcentral is "bacterial SSU rRNA". It matches the Rfam family "Bacterial small subunit ribosomal RNA", at positions 49 to 784 of the family's 1533-position model. The record is from RNAcentral. Lineage: Bacteria; Bacillati; Bacillota; Bacilli; Caryophanales; Bacillaceae.
CUAUACAUGCAAGUCGAGCAGAAUGGAUUAAGAGCUUGCUCUUAUGAAGUUAGCGGCGGACGGGUGAGUAACACGUGGGUAACCUGCCCAUAAGACUGGGAUAACUCCGGGAAACCGGGGCUAAUACCGGAUAACAUUUUGAACCGCAUGGUUCGAAAUUGAAAGGCGGCUUCGGCUGUCACUUAUGGAUGGACCCGCGUCGCAUUAGCUAGUUGGUGAGGUAACGGCUCACCAAGGCAACGAUGCGUAGCCGACCUGAGAGGGUGAUCGGCCACACUGGGACUGAGACACGGCCCAGACUCCUACGGGAGGCAGCAGUAGGGAAUCUUCCGCAAUGGACGAAAGUCUGACGGAGCAACGCCGCGUGAGUGAUGAAGGCUUUCGGGUCGUAAAACUCUGUUGUUAGGGAAGAACAAGUGCUAGUUGAAUAAGCUGGCACCUUGACGGUACCUAACCAGAAAGCCACGGCUAACUACGUGCCAGCAGCCGCGGUAAUACGUAGGUGGCAAGCGUUAUCCGGAAUUAUUGGGCGUAAAGCGCGCGCAGGUGGUUUCUUAAGUCUGAUGUGAAAGCCCACGGCUCAACCGUGGAGGGUCAUUGGAUACUGGGAGACUUGAGUGCAGAAGAGAAAAGUGGAAUUCCAUGUGUAGCGGUGAAAUGCGUAAAGAUAUGGAAGAACACCAGAGGCGAAGGCGACUUUCUGGUCUGUAACUGAUACUGAGGCGCCAAAUCCUGGGGAAGCAAACGGGAUAAAAAA